ACUUGAAUUUGGGUUUUUAACUUAGAUUUGGGUGGCGGACGGGUGAGUAACGCGUAAAGAACUUGCCUCACAGCUAGGGACAACAUUUAGAAAUGAAUGCUAAUACCUGAUAUUAUGAUUUUAAGGCAUCUUAGAAUUAUGAAAGCUAUAUGCGCUGUGAGAGAGCUUUGCGUCCCAUUAGCUAGUUGGAGAGGUAACAGCUCACCAAGGCGAUGAUGGGUAGCCGGCCUGAGAGGGUGAACGGCCACAAGGGGACUGAGACACGGCCCUUACUCCUACGGGAGGCAGCAGUGGGGAAUAUUGGACAAUGGACCGAGAGUCUGAUCCAGCAAUUCUGUGUGCACGAUGAAGUUUUUCGGAAUGUAAAGUGCUUUCAGUUGGGAAGAAAAAAUGACGGUACCAACAGAAGAAGUGACGGCUAAAUACGUGCCAGCAGCCGCGGUAAUACGUAUGUCACGAGCGUUAUCCGGAUUUAUUGGGCGUAAAGCGCGUCUAGGUGGUUAUGUAAGUCUGAUGUGAAAAUGCAGGGCUCAACUCUGUAUUGCGUUGGAAACUGUAUAACUAGAGUACUGGAGAGGUAAGCGGAACUACAAGUGUAGAGGUGAAAUUCGUAGAUAUUUGUAGGAAUGCC
Molecule: ribosomal RNA, 631 nt
Filed under: uncultured bacterium
Lineage: Bacteria
Description: bacterial SSU rRNA
Rfam family: Bacterial small subunit ribosomal RNA
Source: RNAcentral